GUGGGGAAUUUUCCGCAAUGGGCGAAAGCCUGACGGAGUGACGCCGCGUGGGGGAUGAAGGCCUUCGGGUUGUAAACCCCUGUCAGAGGGAAAGAAGGGUGUCGGUGUUAAUAGCGCCGGCAUCUGACGGUACCUUCAGAGGAAGCCCCGGCCAACUCUGUGCCAGCAGCCGCGGUAAGACAGAGGGGGCAAGCGUUGCUCGGAAUCACUGGGCGUAAAGAGCGCGUAGGCGGGAUGGCAAGUCGGUCGUGAAAUCCCUCGGCUCAACCGAGGAGCGUCGGCCGAUACUGCUGUUCUUGAGGGAUGCAGAGGAGACUGGAAUUCCCGGUGUAGCGGUGAAAUGUGUAGAGAUCGGGAGGAACACCGGUGGCGAAGGCGGGUCUCUGGGCAUCUCCUGACGCUGAGGCGCGAAAGCGUGGGGAGCAAACGGGAUUAGAAACCCUUGUAGUCC
RNAcentral lists this ribosomal RNA (451 nucleotides) under uncultured bacterium. RNAcentral's name for it is "bacterial SSU rRNA". It matches the Rfam family "Bacterial small subunit ribosomal RNA", at positions 354 to 796 of the family's 1533-position model. The record is from RNAcentral.